Molecule: ribosomal RNA, 413 nt
Filed under: uncultured prokaryote
Description: bacterial SSU rRNA
Rfam family: Bacterial small subunit ribosomal RNA
Source: RNAcentral
GUGUCAGCCGCCGCGGUAAUACGGAGGGUGCGGGCGUUAAUCGGAAUUACUGGGCGUAAAGCGCGCGUAGGCGGUUUGCCAAGUCAGAGGUGAAAGCCCGGGGCUUAACCUCGGAAUUGCCUUUGAGACUGGCAGGCUUGAGUACGGGAGAGGUAAGUGGAAUUCCGAGUGUAGAGGUGAAAUUCGUAGAUAUUCGGAAGAACACCAGUGGCGAAGGCGGCUUACUGGACCGUUACUGACGCUGAGGCGCGAAAGCGUGGGGAGCAAACAGGAUUAGAUACCCUGUAGUCCACGCCGUAAACGAUGGGUGCUAGAUGUUGGGGGCCUUUGGCUUCCGGUGUCGCAGCUAACGCGUUAAGCACCCCGCCUGGGGAGUACGGCCGCAAGGUUAAAACUCAAAGGAAUUGACGGGG